AGUGAACGCUGGCGGUAGGCCUAACACAUGCAAGUCGAACGGCAGCACAGUAAGAGCUUGCUCUUACGGGUGGCGAGUGGCGGACGGGUGAGGAAUACAUCGGAAUCUACUUUUUCGUGGGGGAUAACGUAGGGAAACUUACGCUAAUACCGCAUACGACCUACGGGUGAAAGUAGGGGAUCUUCGGACCUUGCGCGAUUGAAUGAGCCGAUGUCGGAUUAGCUAGGUGGCGGGGUAAAGGCCCACCAAGGCGACGAUCCGUAGCUGGUCUGAGAGGAUGAUCAGCCACACUGGAACUGAGACACGGUCCAGACUCCUACGGGAGGCAGCAGUGGGGAAUAUUGGACAAUGGGCGCAAGCCUGAUCCAGCCAUACCGCGUGGGUGAAGAAGGCCUUCGGGUUGUAAAGCCCUUUUGUUGGGAAAGAAAAGCAGCAGGUUAAAACCCCGCUGUUCUGACGGUACCCAAAGAAUAAGCACCGGCUAACUUCGUG
RNAcentral lists this ribosomal RNA (492 nucleotides) under uncultured bacterium. RNAcentral describes it as "partial 16S ribosomal RNA". It matches the Rfam family "Bacterial small subunit ribosomal RNA", at positions 29 to 507 of the family's 1533-position model. The record is from RNAcentral.